GAUGAACGCUGGCGGCGUGCCUAAUACAUGCAAGUCGAGCGAACAGACGAGGAGCUUGCUCCUCUGACGUUAGCGGCGGACGGGUGAGUAACACGUGGAUAACCUACCUAUAAGACUGGGAUAACUUCGGGAAGCCGGAGCUAAUAACGGCUAAUAUAUUGAACCACAUGGUUCAAUAGUGAAAUACGGUUUUGCUGUCACUUAUAGAUGGAUCCGCGCCGCAUUAGCUAGUUGGUAAGGUAACGGCUUACCAAGGCGACGAUGCGUAGCCGACAUGAGAGGGUGAUCGGCCACACUGGAACUGAGACACGGUCCAGACGCCUACGGGAGGCAGCAGUAGGGAAUCUUCCGCAAAGGGCGAAAGCCUUACGGAGCAACGCCGCGUGAGUGAUGAAGGUCUUCGGAUCGUAAAACUCUGUUAUUAGGGAAGAACAAAUGUGUAAGUAACUAUGCACGUCUUGACGGUACCUAAUCAGAAAGCCACGGCUAACUACGUG
RNAcentral lists this ribosomal RNA (497 nucleotides) under uncultured bacterium. RNAcentral's name for it is "partial 16S ribosomal RNA". It matches the Rfam family "Bacterial small subunit ribosomal RNA", at positions 28 to 507 of the family's 1533-position model. The record is from RNAcentral.